GUUCAUGCUCUGUCUCUCUCUGUCUCAAAAAUAAAUAAACGUUAAAAAAAAUUUUUUUAAAUAAAGGGUUCAGUACUCUGAGUAUAAAGCAGUUUUGUGAAAUGUGCAAAAUAAAGUUGCGGUGAUUUUCAAACUCGGGCUUCCCGUGAUUGUCUGAGCUACUGGGAGAAUAGGAGCACGGAGAAUACGGGACUCAGACCAUUGCAGUGGUGCAAUUUGGCGUUUAAUGCUCCUUCGGAAGGUAUUUAUUGAGCAUCCAGAUGUGCCAGGCACUGUUGGAGGAGCUGGAGAAGGAGGGAUGAGAAGGACGGACAUGGUGCCCAGUCUCACAGAGCUUGGCCAGACGAACUGGACGGUAAGAUCUAAACAAAUAAUCUCAGGCGAGCAAUGCUGUGGAAAAGGUAAACAGCAUUUGCAUUUUAUGUUGCAGCUGGUAACAAAUUAUCACACACUUUGUGCCCUGGGACAAGGCAGAUUUAUGGUCUUACAGUCCUGGAAGUCAGAAGUCUAAAAUCAAGGUGUCGGUGUUCCUUCCGGAGGCUCUGGGAGAAUCUGUUUCCUUUCCUUUUUCUGCUUCCCGGACUGGGGGCAUUCCUUAGCUCCGGGCCCCUUUCCAGAAGUGUCCCUACCCUGGCUUGGGUCAUCUGUUUUAAUCACCUUGCCGUCCCCACCCCAGUGGUGAGGGAGGGGUUCCUGCCCCAGGGAUGGUGGGGGAGGACGACACUGGACAGACGAGACCAACAAGCAGGCUCUCCGCCUCAUUCCCUCGCAGUCAGAGGUUGGGGGACGCUGCAGGCCACGCAGGGGCCCCACGAGGGUCACACUCAGGACCAGAGUGAACAAACCGGGCUGUGAGAGGCGGGCUCUAUAGCAGCAAGAGGGUGAGGUGGCCCGGGUCCCACGGGAGGGUGUGACGGGCUUGUGUGGAGAAUUCCACGAGCCGGGCGGGAACUGGAACCCCGCGCUCAGGGGUCAGCAGGCCCCGAGCUUCUGUGUGACGAGGAGGGGUGUUUGGCUGGGGGACCUUCUCCACAGGAGCCGAGUGGGGAGAGGAACCUGCGAGGAGACCACUGACAGCCUCCCACGGCACCCGGGGUCAGGGCAGCACAGGAUACUGAUUCUUUUUUUUAUGUCUUACACAGCAUUGUCAUAUUUCCUCCUAUGGGCAGGACGUGGAUGAAGCAAAAUUUCAUCCCUUGUUUGACUCCAGAGCUGAUGCUCUAACCACCAGGCCACACAGCCUCUCCAGCACUGGGGGUUGUGGCGGCCUGUGUGCAAAGAUGGCCGCCAAGGACUCACAUCUGCCAGCUCACUUGUUCUGGCGACCUGCGCUCCCACACUGAGUCUGAGUUGGCCCUAAGCCUCAGUUUCACCAAGAGAACGUGGUGACAGGGACACCACCCUUGUUCCGAAGGGGCCUAAGAGGGCCCGGCAGCUUCCCCUCGUGUCGCCUUGGCAGCGAGCUGCUGUGUAGAGUCCAACUGCUUCCUGUGGAGCGAGUCCACACAGAGAGGCCCUGGGGCAUGAGACCCCUCCUUCGCGGGGGGGGGGGGGGGGGGAAGGCCACAGGAAGGACCACCAAGUUCUCGGCCAUGCAAGCGAAGAAGCCACCAUGGAGUGUUCUGGCAAAAUAGAGCUCCCAGAAGCUGUAGCCCCAGCCCACCUCGCGAGGUGGAGAAAAUGGCAGCUGAAGCUAGUCAGUCCGCGGCGUAAGGGGGGGUAGUGUGAGAGAAUACGGUCGUGGUUGUUGAAGCCACUUUUGGGGUGAUUUGUUACUCCAACAGGUAAUUAACCCCCUGGUUUAAAUCUUACCUAAAUCCGCUCCAUUAGCAAAGCGUCAACACUUCAAACAAGUGCUAUGGUGAAGAAAAUGACCCCAGUCUCUCUGUGUGUGGGAACACUAGGAUACAGAGCCUCCCCCAACACUAUUGAGCAGGCUGUGUCCGUGUGGCUGGUGGGACCUCAGGCAAAGCAGAUGACAAAAAUAUCUUACAGGAGGUGUUUUCUUAACGGAGACCAUGCAUCCAACAUGGAAACUCCAGCCUGGUUUUCCACAGGUGCUCCGGGGGCCGGGGGCGCUGGUUCUCAUCUCCACAGCCUCUGGCUCUGCCCGUAUUGUGUCCGUAUCUGCCCUGUCUAUCUGGCCAGUGGACUUGAGCUGAAGUAGGACAUCACUGAGUGAUGAGAAAACAUUUCAAAGACAUGAUUAGUCGAGGCACCCUGCAGGUGUCUGAAAAGUUGUCCCGGUGGGAUCUGCAGGGCCCAGCUUAAAAGAACUGGCACAGAGGGGACGUUGCUGAGCUACUGACCUUGACCUGCAAUAUGCAACAGCUGCAGCCUCUUGCUUCUGAAUGCACAAUUAACAGUUCAUUCCUGAGCACUUUCCUGUAGGGACUGAGAACCAAAUAAUCCCCCGAUGUAAGCCAUUUGACAUCCAAGUGCUUACACAACGCAACUGACAAAGAUUAUAUGUUGAAAUCAUUGCCAAGCAAUGUCUUUUUUUUUUUUUUUCUUAAAGAGAGAGCGCACAAGCAGGGGAGGGGGCAGAGAGAGAAUCCCAAGCAUGUUGUGUGGCACCGCACCUGAUUUGGGACUUGAUCCCGCGGCCCUGGGAUCAUGAUCCGAGCCAAAAUCAAGAGUCAGAUGCUCCACCGACUGAGCCACCCAGGCAUCCUAGCGACAUCUUUUUCUUUUUUUUUUUAAAUACUCUAACGAACUCCCCUCCCCGCCCCGCCCCCGUCCCCAGACUCCUCUGUCCUGUCUCACGAAGCAACUCCAUAUACUUGGGAAUUUCCAGCAACUUGGAAGUGGGAAUUGCACGUCCUGACAGGUGGCAGUGACUGGAGCAGACACCCCAAGCCGGGUCCUUCUUGGGGAUCUUGUCCGAGCCCUCCCGAGAUGGAUUAGCCAGUGAGACUUUUGGCACCCACUUGAUUGCACCUUUUUCAGGCGAAGUGAGGGAUGGAGAAGUCUGCACCAUGAUGCUCCGUGACCUUCAGGACGCACGGUCAGAGCACUAACAGGAAGACACUGCACAUUGCUCCGGAGGAUUGUGGUGUCGCUUGGAGAACGUCUGUGUGCGACCCCGAUGUCAAAGCAUCCUGCCAGGGUAAGAGCAAGGCGCACUCGCCAGCGUGGGGGAGCCCAAGGCCUCGCGUGGCACCUGUUUGCAUUUUUCCCACCAGCCUCUGCCUCCCUUUCUGCCACACCUCCCCGGUGGCAAAGUGUGCCUCCCUCGUUAAUUUCCACAAGAAGUCCACAAGACGGGAAGAAGACUUUUGGCUUCAUUUCGCUUUGUUUCUUCGUAAAUGGUUUUGUUGACACGUAAUUGCACACGAUUCACCUGUUUAACGUGUACAGUUCAGGGCGUUGGGUGUAUUCACACACGUGUGCAACCAGCACACCACCGUCUGUUUUAGAGGAUUUUUGUCACCUCAAAAAAACCUCCGAACCCUUUAGCUAUUAUCCCCCAACCUUCCUCCAACCCCCCGCCCCAAACCCCACCCCCAACCUAGUCGUAAGCAACCAUGAAUCUACUUCCUGUUCCUGUAGAUUUCCCCGUCCUGGGCUUUUGUGCGAAUGGAAUCCUAGAACAUGUGAUCUUUUCGUGACUGGUUCCUGUCACGCAUCAUGAACAGUUACGUGGUUCAUCCACGUUGUAUCACAUAUCAGCACUUCAUUCCUUUGUACGAUGGGAUAAUACUCUGUUGUAUACUUUGGCA
Long non-coding RNA from Herpailurus yagouaroundi (jaguarundi), 3722 nucleotides. RefSeq lists it as uncharacterized. NCBI's taxonomy places the organism in Eukaryota, Metazoa, Chordata, Mammalia, Carnivora, Felidae. The record is from RefSeq and is a predicted model, not a curated record. The transcript is spliced from 2 exons.